UGCAUCGAUGAAGAACGCAGCGAAAUGCGAUACGUAGUGUGAAUUGCAGAAUUCCGCGAAUCAUCGAGUCUUUGAACGCAAGUUGCGCCCGAGGCUUGUCCGAGGGCAUUUCCGCUAGAGCGUCACCGCGCCCCCCACCGAUCCGCUCCCGCCGCGAGGCGCCAGUCGGGUCGAGUGCAAGUGGCCGUCCCGGCGAAGUGGCCUUCUUUCACGAGGAGGCCGUCCUUGGAAGGGUCGGCUGAAAUGGAUGGAAUCGGGCCGCCGUGGUGACACAGUCCGCGAUCGGGUGAUUUUGUCGCGAGCCUCCUGCGCUGCGGGAGGCUCUUGGUGAAUUUUUCUAAGUGCUUGGCUGCGUCCCCCAGUUGGCUCGGGUUACCUCAUGCAGGUCGAGCGCGCCCCCGCGGCGCGCGUCACGCAUCAGACCUCUAAUCGGA
RNAcentral lists this ribosomal RNA (434 nucleotides) under Brachythecium propinnatum. RNAcentral's name for it is "eukaryotic LSU rRNA". The stretch from base 1 to 125 matches the Rfam family "5.8S ribosomal RNA", at positions 29 to 154 of the family's 154-position model. The record is from RNAcentral. Lineage: Eukaryota; Viridiplantae; Streptophyta; Bryopsida; Hypnales; Brachytheciaceae.